This 855-nucleotide long non-coding RNA is filed under the name Dromaius novaehollandiae (emu). RNAcentral describes it as "lncRNA (ENSDNVG00000015771.1)". Lineage: Eukaryota; Metazoa; Chordata; Aves; Casuariiformes; Dromaiidae. The record is from RNAcentral.
GAUGUCAUCUGAGCUAAGUGUUAUGAGAUGAGAGUGGAACUCAAGUUAAUAAACCGCUGCCUUGCAGGAGAAGAGAACUUGUUCACAUGUAAUCCUCUGUACAGAGACCACACGCUCACACUGUCAUGCACCCAAUUAUACUUCAAUACAUACAUCUGUUCUUUAUGCCUUGCCCCAGCUGGAUGGGAGAAGAUGCAGGCGAGGAAAUGGGAUAGAGGUGAAGACAGUAAGAAGGAACAAUUGCUUACAGUACUUCRUCUCUCUUGGAUUUGUUUCCUGUUUUUUGCCAAUGGAAAUCAAAGAAAAUGGAGGAGGCUUCCCUGCAGUGAUCUUCAGAACUCCUUGUCUUCACCUGGAUAUCGGUCUGGGACUGGCCACACAGGCAUGACUACAGGAUUCCUUCCACAUCAUGGCUUCCUCAUGAGAUGUGGAGAGGAGGAAAUCUUAAAAAAGAAAAAAGAAGACACUCAGCAUAUCAGUAUGAAGUGGUAUCAUACCAUGAGUUAUGUCACUGCUGCAGGGACCAACCAAAUAUUUUGAAAACAAGUUUGCUAGCCUGGAAGAUCAAAGUGAUAUCUGACCAAUGGUUCCCAGUACCUGAAAUCUGAGCCAACUUAUCUCUCUGUGGAGGUGAACAUUAAAAUCUUAUUUUUCAUUCUCAUUUGUCUCAGACUUUUUAGAAUUGUAUUUAUGCUUUUUYUUAGACUAGGAUAUUUUUACUUAAUACCUGGAAAGCACUGACAAAAUAUGGUUAGGGAAAAAGAAUUUGAAUGUAAGAGGACACUCUAGACCCUUGUUUUUGGAACUGUUCAUUUCAGUAAUAAAAAAAAAAUCACUGGGUGUAUGACUAAAAUG